Daucus carota subsp. sativus is the source of this 5816-nucleotide RNA transcript. It is a transcript of the gene named protein ROS1C-like, with no coding region annotated. The transcript is spliced from 21 exons. Lineage: Eukaryota; Viridiplantae; Streptophyta; Magnoliopsida; Apiales; Apiaceae. The record is from RefSeq and is a predicted model, not a curated record.
CCGUUUUAAAACCAAAAUUCCCUUAAACGAACUUUGCUGUAUUAACUACGCGCAAGAAAAUCACUGAGCUAAUUUGUAACGGUCUAAUCUUAAGGUCUAUUGAUUAGUCACACAUCUUGCACAGGUAUAUAUGAGGUAAGGAACUAUGGAGUGUAAAGAAUUGGUUGCAUGGGUGCCCUUGACUCCUCAAAAAGUGUGCUUAGAGUCUAUCAGUGGAGUCAAGAACUGUAAAGAUCCUAACUUUACUGAAUCUGUGGAUGUUAAUAGUGAUUUUUGUGAUGGGAAAGUGGUUUCUUCAAAUGGGGUUGAGAUCACACUUGGAGUUGAAAAAGAUGAGAGUAGAUGUACAGAAAAAGAGGGGCAGAGGGUGACUGAACUUGAGGAUUCAGAAAGAAAUCUUUAUUGUGCUGGAAAGUUAAUGGAGCACAUGGAUUCUCCUUCAGUUUCAACUCCGGGUCUGGGUGAGAAGCAAAAUACCAGACCGAGGCACAAUGAUGAUGAGAGCAGACACACAGAUAAAAAGGAGAACCAAGUCGGGAAGUUUGAGGAUGAGGAGAGAAAACUCCAUUGUGCUGAAAAUUUACCAAGAGACAUAGAUUCUCCUUCGGUUUUAACUCCAUGUCCAGCAGAGAAGCAAGACAGCAGGAAGAGGAACAACGAUGGGAUUGACUUGAACAAGAAACCCAAGCAAAGGCCUAAAGUAAAAAAGCAUAGACCUAAAAUAGCUGUUGAUAGGUGGAUGCCGAGGAAAAUUCCAAAAUCUCAAACUCCAAGGAACUCAACCCCAAAAGAUAACAGACCUUCAACCACCAAAAAUGUAAAUUUACGUGGUAAAAGAUAUUUAGGAAAGUUGACUAACAGGAAAGGCUUUACUAGUACUUCAGAAGAUGUCAGGGGAGAUGCAAAUUCUGAAACUUCCGCAGGUGUAGCAAUUUUGUGUAAGCGAUCGCUAAAAUUUGAAUGUGAAGCAGUUGAUAAAUGUGACUGUGUAGUAGAAUCAUGCAGUAGGCCUCAUCAGGAUCAGUUUCAUCUGAGAAGUGUUGAAGGGUUACAAAUGAGCACUGAUUUAGAUAUGUGUUCGGAUUUCAACGUCCAAAGCAAAGAAAGAGGUGAAAAUUGUUCUAGUAGAUUUUUGAAUCAAUAUCAGCGUAGAAUGAGAGGUGUGGACAAGCCCUCGUCGGAAGCGAACACUGGCAUUAAUAUUGGAACCAAAGAGUGCACAAAUUUGUCAUUCAGUACAGAUGAAAGUCAACUGAUGUUUAGUAAUCCACAUGAAUUAGAGAAACAAAGUGUUUUCCAUCACAAUAAUCUUCAUGAUAACAGCAAAGCUGGUUGCCUGCAGUUUUAUAGGAGAACAUUUCGAGUAAACCAGUGUCGGCAGAAUAGUAGAAAAUCUGGACCCAAUUUUCCGAAGAUUUUCAAAAAAUCAAGGACAAUGAGACUGAAGGCAACUACAUUCCUGACAAUGUGGUCAAUCGUAGACGGAGCAAGUGCUGGGGCAAAGAGGAAAGGAGCACAUGGUAGGUGCAAACAAAUUACCAGGAAUUUUUGUUCUCAAAUAAAUUGGAAAGUUAUGCGUAAAGGGGUCAGGUCCAUUAGAAAAUCCAAGUAUCAAAGGCCCUUGAGUGUCCGCCAUGAAUUUCAAAUAGAGAAACCACUUCUGAAUAUGAUCCUGCCCACCAAAGAACAGACUCAGGCAGCACUAGCAGAUCCAGAAUCUUUUAAAUGUGUCUUGGGUUUAAGUCCAAUUGUCAAAUCUAGGGGAAAGAGAUCCAAGGGAUCCACUCGUCAGAUUAUUCGUCAACCCUUAGUUGCAAGUUACAAUUUUGAACAGGUGGUGGUGAAUACACAUGAAGAGAUUGUUGGUGCAAGUUAUGGCAGGAAGGUCUAUGAGCCUCAAACUCUUCAAGAACCUCAACAUGUAGAAAGUGAAAAUCAUCAAUUUUGGAGAAAAAACUUGUCAGAAUUCUGUAAUGAAGAUAGCAUUGCUUGUCAAACUGACAUGGACGGGCGGCAUCCUAUGAAAGACGCACUGACUCAAAUUCUUGAAGAAGUUCAACUUAUGAAAUACGAAAAUCACUUAAAUUGUUCAUUGAAUACGGAAAGUAUUUUUCUGGAUAAUAUAGUGGUUCAUGAAAAUAGAAAGCUCCAGCCAGAUGACAGUCACUUAGAUUGUACAUUGAAUGCACCAUGUUCUUUUCUAAGUGAUGUAGAGGCUCAAGGCAGUGAAAGGCUUCAACCAGAUGAAAAUCACAUAGGUUCUUCAUUGAGUGCACCAAUUUUUAUUCUGGAUGACGUAGAGGCUCAUGGCAAGGGAAGGCUUCGACCAGAAAAUUACUUAGAUUGUUCAUUGAAUAACUGCCUUGACGUUGUUGUCAGUCAAGAUGAAAAUAAUCAACCACGGCAUAAAGCUGUACGGCAUAAAGCUGUACCGCAUAAAGCUGUACGGCAUAAAGCUGUUCGGCCCACUCAAGAAUGUUCCAACUAUGCAUUUGUAAGAGGAUUAAUGGACAUCAUUGUGAGAUUGAAGUAUUUGAACAUCUAUGAUGAAUGUCAUGAACUUGUGGCUCAAGAUCCGAAAUUUCAGGGCGGAACUUUAGUAGAGAUUGUUCCUCCUAAGAAGCGAAAAGUACGUCCAAAGUUGGCCCUUGACUCGGAGACUUUGAGGAUGUUUAAAUUACUGAUGGACAAUGAUAGAUGUGAAUAUUCUGAAGACACUGACAGGGAUAAGAACGAAUGGUGGGCAAAAGAGAGAGAAGUCUUCCGUGGACGGGCCAACUCUUUGAUUGCUCGAAUGCAUCUUAUGCAAGGUGAUAGACGGUUCUCCAAAUGGAAAGGAUCUGUUGUGGAUUCUAUAGUCGGAGUCUUUUUAACUCAGAACGUAGGGGACGUCACAUCCAGCUCUGUCUUCAUACAUUUGGCUGCAAAAUAUCCCGUGAAGCCUAGAAACAAAGAAAUUUUUGAGGAUGUGGGAUCCAUAUUUGAUAAGGAAACAGUUGGAAGUUAUUCAAGAGGAGCAGAUGCUCAAGUUGUUUGUGAUAAAUGUACAGAUGUCAAAGACGAUGGAGGCAUUAAAAGAGUUGAUUGCGAACAACCCUGUUCAUAUGCAUUUCCGGCUAAAGAUCUAAAAGCCUUUGAUAUGGAAAGAAAUAAUAAGCUCACUGGUGAAACUUUUAACUUUAGGAAGUCAUUAGAAUUGGAAAAACUUUGUUUUCUGCAGCAGUUUUAUGGUGCUGAGAAAAAACUAUCAUCUUAUAAUGUGAACAUGGAAUUAAAACCGAGCACCGCGGAAAGAAGUAUGCAGACAUCAGUGAGUACUGCUCUUUUUGAUCUGAAUGCGGAUCCACUAGGAAUAUCCAGAGAAGAAGCACAGAACAAAAGUGAAAGCAAUGAAACCCUGGAGCUUUCAGGAAGUCAGAUCAGAAGUCAUCAAGUUGUUAAUAAUAAAUGUACAGAUGUCAAAAACGAUGGAAACAUAGAAGGAGUUGAGUGCGAACAACCCUGUUUACCUGCAUUCCCAGUUCAAGAUCUAGAAGCCUUGGUGCUUGAUAUGGAUCUGGAAAGGAAUAAAAAUUUUGACACCGGUGAAACUUCUAGUUUUAGAAAGUCAUUAGAAUUGGAAGAACUUGGUUUUCUGCAGCAGUUUUAUGGUGCUGAGAACAAUUUAUUACCAUAUAAUGUGAACAUGGAAUUAAAACCUAGCGCUGCAAAAAGAAGUAUGCAGGCAUCAGUAAGUACUGCUACUCUUGAUGCCAAUGUGAAUCCACUAAGAAUUCCCAGAGAAGAAGCACAGAAUAAAAGUGAAAGUAUUGAAACCCUGGAGCUUUCAGGAAGUCAAAUUACAAGUCAUCAAAAUGUCAGUAAGAAGUCAACACCAAAACAUUAUAGUGGUAAGGGUGAGAAGAAGAAAAAGGCAGGAACCGACUGGGAAGAACUGAGGAAAGCGUAUAGUAAUAAUAAUGAAAGAGGAAAGGAUGAUGACAGCAUGGAUGCUGUUGAUUGGGAGGCAGUCAGAAAGGCUCCACACAAAGAAGUUUCUGACGUUUUAGUUGGAAGAGGAAUGAACAAUGUGAUUGCAGCACGAAUUAAGGACUUCCUAGAACGAGUAGUCAAGGACCAUGGAAAGAUUGACCUUGAAUGGCUAAGAGAUAUACCACCAGAUACUGCAAAGGACUUUUUGCUGAGCAUAGAAGGACUUGGACUCAAAAGUGUGGAGUGUGUGCGACUAUUGACCUUACAUCAUCGCGCUUUUCCUGUUGACACAAAUGUUGCUCGAGUAGCAGUGCGUCUGGGAUGGGUUCCACUGGCACCCCUACCUGAAGAACUGAAGUUGCAUCUACUAGAGUCGUAUCCUUUGCUGGACAAAAUUCAGAUGUAUCUUUUUCCACGGCUAUGCACCCUUGAUCAGAAAACAUUGUAUGAGUUGCAUUAUCAAUUGAUUACAUUUGGAAAGCUUUGUAGGUAUUCUGCACGAAGAAAAAACCAAACUGCAAAGCAUGUCCAUUGAAAGGAGAGUGCAAGCACUAUGCAAGUUCAAUUGCUAGUUCUCGGCUAGCUCUUCCUUGGUUCAAAGAUAAAAAUGUUGUGGCUUCCGACCAGAACCGUUCUAUGUUCAUUACACCACUCCCGGAGUCUCUCUUCGAGGUUAAAAUCUCAGAUGAAGCUGAUCCAAAUCUGUCCAAGAUUAAUAUCUUGGAUUCAGUGUAUCAAACUCAAAAUUGUGAACCAAUAAUUGAAGUUCCAGAAUCUCCUAAACCUGAAUCUGUAGAGCCAGAAGAAUUAAGGGACAUCGAGGAUUACUUUACAGAUGAUGAGAUACCUAUCAUCAGACUUAAUGAACAAGAGCAAAAAAAAAAAUUGCAGAAUAUAAUAGAGACCGAAUACAUGUUUCAAGAAGGGGACAUUGCAGAUGCAUCGACUGCUUUGACUAAAGAAGUUGCUUCAGUUCACCCCCAGAAGUACAAGUUAACUGGAAGGCUGAAAACAGUACACCAAGUCUUGGAGCUCCCUGAUUUUCACCCUCUUCUAGAAAAGUUUGAGGAAAGGGUAAAUGGCGAUCCAUGCCCAUACCUUCUUGCAAUAUGGACAACAACCGAUGUUACUUUAAAAUCCUCCCAACAUCACAGCAGCAGUGGUGGCAGCUCAAGGGAACCACAUGAACCAGGAAUGACCAAUGAGAUUGCAAUAUACCCUUCUAUCAGAAGCAAUGAAGGACAAACAAUUAAAGGAACCAUAUUGAUACCUUGCCGAACAGCAAAUAGAGGAAAAUUUCCACUUAAUGGAACAUAUUUUCAGGUUAAUGAGGUAUUUGCUGAUUUUGAAUCUAGCGAGCGCCCAAUUGACAUUCCAAAAGAAUGGAUAUGCAAUCUGCCAAGACGAAGUCUACAUUGUGGAGGGACCGCAAGUGCAAUAUUUAGAGGUUCAGUUAUGGAGGAGAUUCAAUAUUGCUUUUGGAGAGGAUAUAUUUGUUUGAGAGGAUUUGACAGAAGGAGGAGGAUAACUUGGCCAUUGCAUCCGAGAUUUCAUAUUUCUCCCUCGAUGGCUAAGAAAAUGAGAGAGGAACACGCACGCAGGAAGACAAUGAUUAAUAAAGAUAUUUUGUGAUUUGAAGGACUAGAUUAACAAAGCUUUUAUGUAUGUGUAAAGUUUUCUUAGGCUGCUAUUAGAUCUAUGUAUUUGUUUAAAGUUUAGUCUUAUAUAUGUUCAAUAUUUACUUACAAUUAUAAUAUAUAUUGUUAGAUCUCGGUGACUCUUACUAGUAAUACUGUAUUAUUCGUGGAGCUAUUAUUAUAUCAAAUCAUCAUAAACAUCCUGUA